CCUACGGGUGGCUGCAGUGGGGAAUCUUGGACAAUGGGCGAAAGCCUGAUCCAGCCAUGCCGCGUGUGUGAAGAAGGCCUUCGGGUUGUAAAGCACUUUCAGUGGGGAAGAAAGCCUUGGGGCUAAUACCCUCGAGGAAGGACAUCACCCACAGAAGAAGCACCGGCUAACUCCGUGCCAGCAGCCGCGGUAAUACGGAGGGUGCGAGCGUUAAUCGGAAUUACUGGGCGUAAAGCGCGCGUAGGCGGUCUGAUAAGCCGGUUGUGAAAGCCCCGGGCUCAACCUGGGAAGGCAUCCGGAACUGUCAGGCUAGAGUGCAGGAGAGGAAGGUAGAAUUCCCGGUGUAGCGGUGAAAUGCGUAGAGAUCGGGAGGAAUACCAGUGGCGAAGGCGGCCUUCUGGACUGACACUGACGCUGAGGUGUGAAAGCGUGGGUAGCAAACAGGAUUAGAUACCCGUGUAGUC
This 464-nucleotide ribosomal RNA is filed under the name Vreelandella stevensii. RNAcentral's name for it is "partial 16S ribosomal RNA". It matches the Rfam family "Bacterial small subunit ribosomal RNA", at positions 338 to 795 of the family's 1533-position model. Lineage: Bacteria; Pseudomonadati; Pseudomonadota; Gammaproteobacteria; Oceanospirillales; Halomonadaceae. The record is from RNAcentral.